Molecule: RNA transcript, 5247 nt
Organism: Sabethes cyaneus
Lineage: Eukaryota; Metazoa; Arthropoda; Insecta; Diptera; Culicidae
Gene: ClC-a
Gene name: chloride channel protein 2
Exons: 11
Source: RefSeq, a predicted model, not a curated record
CAGCUAGCUAGCAGACAGUGCGGUUCGGCUGGACUCCUCUAGUCAUAAUCGCGCGUUGCGUGUAUAAAUAUUUUCUCUAUCUAUCGUCAUCGUUGUGUUGUCGACAUUCAAAUUCCUAGUAUUGCAACGUGCUUUGCACAGAUGUGGCGUUAUUCGGAUUUCCCGACUGUUAACUAUUCCAGCUCGAAUCGGAAUCACUAACCUAACUGGCUCAGCGCAUGAACAGCUGAUUCUAUCACACACUUCUCUGGCGACCGGUUUCAGACGACUGACUGAUCAAAAUUCGAUCGCCUCCGCUGGCCGGCGUUCAUGCGGAACUUCGAAUUUUGCUCGACAGUCGCGCGAAUUUUAAUCAGCUGACAUAAAGUGCGGAACGACUUUUCCGUUGGGUGCACCGUACGAGCAAUGCGCGGCGUUUAAUGUGUUGUAAAUUUUAUUCAGUUGAUGAAUAAUUAGAAUUGCUGAAGUUCGAUUCUAAUUGUGAUUAGAGUUAGCGCUUAUACUUGGAAGUGCCGUAAAGUCUGAUUGGCGUGCACUUCAGUGCUGGUUCGCUAUAGGCCGUGAGUUGAUUGUACACUACCGCUAGUGACCAACCAAGGUUCAGCAGCGCCGCCGAAGGCUGCACGUCAAUAUACUCUCGCCAUGUGGAACUAGGCCAUCGGCGUCUGUUGUCGUAGAUGAUAAGGACUGUAAGUUAUCGUCAAUAUUUUCCUGUGUGCUUCCCGUCUGUUCAAAACAGUCGAAUUGCCCCUAGGAAAGUGUCAUCUUGCUAAUCCGGUAUAACGGAACGCACUGUUGUCCGUGGCAGAUCGUUUAGGAAGUGAUGUGAGCCUCACAGGUUUAUUAAGUAUAGGAGGUUGUUGUGUGCACGCUUGAUCGGUUUUUGUCUUCGGUAAAAGCUAAGCGUCUAAUCGUUCUGCGUGCGGACUAAUUUUAGUUUACAAGUGAAGUGACUCGGACGGAGCUGCUCUAGCAAUCAUCGUUGGGGGUAGCUUUGCGUUGUGAAUCUGGUAUCUUGUGAGCGAAAAGAUACUAUUUGGUAUUUUGUGUUUCAGGAAAAUCCCGGACGGACGGGUGACGGUGUUUUCCGCGAGUAUCAGAAGUUUCUGCUCGGGCUUGAUUCACAUGCUGGUGAGAAUUCCGUCCGCACUGGAUAGUGAAGGGUGAAUAUGGUCGAUCACUAGCGAAUCGGCCGGCAAAGUAUUCAGUGUUUGGUGUUUCUGGUGGUCGGGCUGCGUGUUUAUCACCGCCGGUACGUUGUGUGUGCUGAUUAGUGAGUGCGGGUGAAAAUGUUCAACGAGAAAAAAUUAGGCGAGAUGGAUCGGCUUAUGGUGCCGACCAAGAUCAUACCCACAAGGCAGCCCCUGGCGGGAACCAAAGAUCUGGAUCUGGACGAUCAGGAUGAUGGCCUAGGAUACACGCAUACGCUGAUGUAUGGCCGCUAUACCAAAGAUCUAGGAGAAUACGCCAAAGAUGAAGCGAGAAGACUCAGACUUCUUGAACGAAGAAGAAAAAAAGAAGAUAAAUCAAGGAACAAGGAACUGUUGGGAGUGCGGGAUAACAGAUUUUACAAAGCCGGUUCCUGGCUAUGGCGGAACACAUUUGCCAGAUUGGGCGAGGACUGGGUAUUCCUGGCCCUGCUCGGCAUCAUCAUGGCGUUGCUGUCCUACGUGAUGGAUAAGGGCAUCGCUAUGUGCACGAACUCACGAGUAUGGCUCUACAGAGAUCUCACUAACCAUCCGGUGGCGCAGUAUUUGGCCUGGGUUUCCCUGCCCGUUGUACUCAUUUUGUUCUCCGCCGGUUUCGUCCACCUGGUGGCACCGCAAAGUAUAGGCUCCGGUAUUCCAGAAAUGAAGACCAUUCUCCGGGGCGUAGCACUGAAAGAAUAUCUCACCUUCAAGACUCUGGUCGCCAAAGUGAUAGGCCUGACGGCAACCCUGGGCUCGGGAAUGCCCCUUGGCAAGGAAGGCCCCUUUGUACAUAUAGCUAGUAUAGUAGCACAAUUAUUAAGUAAAAUCAUAACAUCAUUCCAAUCGAUCUACGAGAAUGAGUCCCGCAAUACGGAAAUGCUGGCGGCGGCCUGUGCCGUCGGAGUGGGAGCCUGCUUCGCGGCCCCGGUCGGCGGUGUGCUGUUCAGUAUCGAGGUCACCACGACGUACUUCGCAGUGCGCAACUACUGGCGGGGCUUCUUCGCGGCCGUCUGCGGUGCAACGGUGUUCCGGUUGCUAGCGGUCUGGUUCCAGAAGGCGGACACCGUGACGGCUCUGUUCGCCACCAAUUUCACUGCCGAUUUUCCGUUCGAUCCACAGGAACUGUUUGUGUUUGCACUGAUCGGCCUUGUCAGUGGUCUUGGAGGUGCACUGUACGUAUGGGUUCAUCGCAAAUACGUAUUCUUCAUGCGAUCCAAUAAAGGAAUGAACAAAUUUCUUCAAAAAAAUCGUUUCCUGUAUCCCGGCAUUCUGGCGCUGAUCGUGGCCACUCUUUCAUUCCCUCUCGGCUUCGGCCAAUACAUUGCCGGGGAACUGAGUACCCACGAGCAGGUACUGCAGCUGUUUUCCAACUUCACCUGGAGUAAACAGGAUCUCACCGUAGAACAGGCUGCUAUCGUGUCCAACUGGCGGACGGCCUAUACAGAUGUCUUCGCCAAUUUGUUUAUUUAUUUGUUAUACACGUUUUUCUUUUCCAUCAUCACCUCAACCAUUCCGGUUCCUUCUGGUAUCUUCAUUCCUGUGUUCAAAAUCGGCGCUGCCCUGGGUCGCCUGGUCGGCGAGGGAAUGCAUCUGUGGUUCCCCUACGGGGUGCGCUACGGUGGCAAGCUGGCACCGAUCAUCCCCGGUGGAUAUUCGGUCGUGGGAGCUGCCGCUUUCUCCGGAGCCGUCACCCAUACAGUUUCGGUGGGUGUAAUAGUGUUCGAAAUGACCGGCCAAAUUACGCACAUCGUGCCGGUAAUGAUUGCUUCGCUGGUUUCGAAUGCGGUCGCCGCUCUUCUACAGCCGUCCAUGUACGAUAGCAUUAUCUUAAUUAAGAAAUUGCCGUAUCUGCCAGAUCUGCUACCUAGUGGUUCCGGAAUGUACAACAUCUACGUCGAAGACUUCAUGGUACGAGACGUUAGGUACAUUUGGAAAGGAAUCUCCUACCAGAAGCUGAAGGAAAUUCUGAAAGCGAAUAAAGCUUUAAGAAGCCUACCGAUCGUCGAUUGCCCGGACAACAAGGUUCUGCUAGGAAGCGUUCAAAGGUACGAACUGAUCAAACUGAUCGACAAACAUAUCGGUCGCGAGAAACGUCUAGAAGUGGCAGCUAAAUGGAUGAAAGAAGCCGAAGAAAAAGCUCGCGAAGAGCAAGAACGACUCAAGCGGGAGGCAGAAGAGCUGCAGAAAACACGCCGUCCAUCACGUUUCGAAGUCAGUCCAGCGCCGGACAUUUUAAAACUGCGUGAGCGAGCCAACAACGAAAUGCUACCGCCACAGGCGAAAAAAGAAACGACACUCCAGUAUAGUCCUGUUUUCGGGACGCAGCCGAAAAAAUCCAUCCUGAAAAAAACGAACUCAUUCACGCUAAAGGGUACCACUCCUCUAUCAGCACACAGUCCGGUCCAAACGCCAUACACAACCAUCACCGGGACGGAAAGUAAGAUUCGAUCAGCGUUUGAAAUUAUAUUCCGCAAGUCGGCAACCCUACAGGAUGUUACUCCCGAUCCUGAAAUCGGUUCCAUCGGUACGCCAAGUAUCAGUGGAACCGAAGGUGUACCAUUGACCCCGGGAAUCUCCAAGAAAGUGCAACUGCCACGGGAGCGAGUCAUCGACAUGUCACCAGAGGACCAGAAAGCCUGGGAACUGGAGGAAAUGAAUAAGCCAAUCGACGUAGACAACCUGCACAUUGAUCCGGCGCCGUUCCAGCUGGUCGAACGUACCUCAAUUCUAAAGGUUCACUCACUGUUUUCGAUGGUGGGUAUCAACCACGCGUAUGUGACGAACGUUGGCCGACUGGUCGGUGUGGUGGCACUGAAAGAGCUGAGGGUGGCCAUCGAGAAUGUGAACAGCGGCACGCUUACACCGGAAUCGGUGAAACAGAAACAGGAGGAGGAAGCCAGAGCCAAAGAGGCGGAAAUCAGUAGCGCAGAGGACCCACUCCUGCCGAAGGGACCUAACGGUGGCUACAGCGAUAAAAAAGUAAAUAAUACGAUAACAUCCAUGGAUUCUGCACUAUCCAACUCGGAUAACUGUUCCGAUAUCGAGCUAGACAACAUUAGAUUUACGGGCGAUAAACGCAGUGCCACUAAUAAAACCAACAACAACAACAACAACAACAACAGUAGCAGCAAUGGCGGCGGCGGCGGCAACAACAACAACAACCACUCAAACAAUCACGGUGGCGUGCAACAGUAGUCUUUAUUAUUUAAAACAAAACGUACUACGUAGCUAGUAGCUUGUGCAGUUCUGUGAACUGAACGUCCACUCUAUUAGGCAACAAUUUCGCACUGCACCUCUAGGAUUGCGACCAAUACUAGCUAAUAGUUUAACACGCAGACACAUAUCCAUCUAAUAUUAAUUAUUACAUUCAUCCGCACUAGCAGAAACUAAUUCAUACACCAAUGCACAAUCUCACAAUGGAAGAAGUCUAUUGGUCGUAGAGAACACUGUAUCAUCUUGGGACGCUAGAAAGAUAUUCAAAGAUUGAGAUAAACCGUGAUUGAUGCCAGCUAAUCCUUUCCUCCGUUCCCGUGAGGACAGUCUAAUCUUUAUGGAAAAAAAGAUGUGAUUCUAAUUUUAAUGAUAUACCUACCUAUCUAAACUGUUAAACCGUGCGGUCGGAAUGUUGCCUUCUAGGCCACCGGAAUCGAGCGCUUUGGAUGUCUUAAACCGCCCGAAACGGGAAGUACGUGAAUAUAAAUAUAUGAACGAACAAGACCAUCAACGGAAUUGUGGAGUGCAGCCAGAUUCCAUCGUUUUGGCUUGGAAUUGUUGUUUUUAAGUAGUUCCGACCUAGCCAAGGCCCACGUAACAAUAGGAAAUUAUUUUAAGUGUGAAUGUUGAUAUCGUUUUAAGUAACAAACUAAUCCAAUUAUAGGAGAUUUCUCUCGUCCAAGACGAAUAUAAUUUAUAUCGAAAAAGACAUAGUUUUUUACUAUUCUGUGACUCGCUACCAGGAACCGGUUGAGCCAGUUUGUACGGUUUCGGCCCGUUACUGUUAAGAAGAAUUAAAAAUUGUUCUGAUCCGUGUAUAUUUAGUAGAGAAAAAUAAAAUAAA